AGCUGCCCUCUUGCCGUGUUCAUGCUUUGGUAGAACACCUUCAGAGCCUUGGCAAGCUCUCGGUCAGAGCCGGCUUGCUGUGUGCACAUUUGGCUCAUCUCCCCGGCGGAUGGCAGUUGCGCAGUCAUCCCGCUGAUCUUCAGAGUGUUGGAAGGCUUCGGGGCUGAGGUGGAAAAAGGAUGUGGCCUUCACCUGUGACCAUGAGGCCCAGCUGAGAGCAGCUCAGCUCGGUGCAGCCUUCUGUAAUGGGGAGAGACACAGUCAAAGAAAGAAACAUCCCAGUCGCCCAGCUCCAGUGUCAGCUUCAUGCAGUAGGCCAGCGACUGGAGCCAGAUGUGAGCUGAGCCCAAGCGGACGACCUCGACAGGAUCCCAGAAAGGGUCGUCAUCUCGAGCCACAGGGCCGUGAUCUCCAUCUAGAAAGCGCUGGUAAAGUUCCUGCAUUAGGAAUUUCCUAUUGAUGAACUUGGCUUUUGACCAUAUCCACACCUGGAAACACAGAGGAAAGCAGAGAGACACAGUGUGAAAUCGCUGCUCUCAGAUCAGCACACGGGAGAGGCCAGCAGUCAGGAGGGGGCUCACCGAGUUUGUCUGCA
RNAcentral lists this long non-coding RNA (595 nucleotides) under Homo sapiens (human). RNAcentral describes it as "non-protein coding LINC01341:9". The record is from RNAcentral. Lineage: Eukaryota; Metazoa; Chordata; Mammalia; Primates; Hominidae.